CACAGUUUGAAAUAACAUUCAAAUUUUGAUUAUUUAAACGCACUGAUCCUGCGAUGUUUCCAUUUAAACGAACCGGUGCGUGGGCAGUUUUUGAGUGUUUUAUGAAAUCCCACUCAGGGCAGUUAUCCAAGCAUGUUGCCUUCGUCCGUUUUUUGACCAGAGACUCAUCUGUUUCGUUUUCCCGUUUCGGGUUCUUGUUCAAUCCUCUCCAGUCCUCACAAACGUUCCAAUCGUUAUUAACUAGAUUUUGUUCGAUCCUGCACAACUGGGUCGUUUCAUGCUCCGCAUCCUUAACGAUGUUCAAAGAAUCGGCAAUAGGGAUGAUAUUUUCCACUUUUAACUCGGGACUGGAUACUCGGGGCUGGAUGGGGGAGACUGAGAUGUUUUUUACCGAGAUAUUUGGAGUGCUGCAUACGUUAUGGGCAGUCACAUCAAACGAAAUAUUGUCAGGCUCCAGGGAUGUGUCAUAAGGAUCGACAACUUCAAUACUGUUUAGUCAACUUCAGUACUAUUAUGAUCUAUGCUAUAAAUGAUGAUGAUUUAAGUUAUGCUAAAAAAUGAUCUGCUGCGGGAAGUUCGCAGAUCAUUUUGUCAAUUGUCUUUUUUUAAGGUAAAAACGCCGGAACUAUUUCUAAAAAGUAUCAGGAACUGUAGAACUCAUUCGCAUGCGAUAAGAACUCACGUUUAUUUCAGCCCUCCUAUAAAAUGAUCUGCUGCGGGAAGUUGGCAGAGCAUUUUUUCAAUUGUCUUUUUUUAGGGUAAAAACGCCGGAACUAUUUCUAAAAAGUAUCAGGAACUGUAGAACUCAGCUGCAUGCGAUAAGAACUCACAUUUAUUUUUGAUCUGCUGGAC
RNAcentral lists this unclassified non-coding RNA (852 nucleotides) under Melitaea cinxia (Glanville fritillary). RNAcentral's name for it is "misc RNA ENSMCXG00005000122.1". Lineage: Eukaryota; Metazoa; Arthropoda; Insecta; Lepidoptera; Nymphalidae. The record is from RNAcentral.